Molecule: long non-coding RNA, 3826 nt
Organism: Notolabrus celidotus (New Zealand spotty)
Lineage: Eukaryota; Metazoa; Chordata; Actinopteri; Labriformes; Labridae
Exons: 3
Source: RefSeq, a predicted model, not a curated record
AGAGAUGGAUUCACAGAUGAAGCAACCUGCACAACAUUUGGUCUUCAUGUUUCACUGUAAGCUUUACAACGGUAAAGUCCGUGUUCACAAAGAGAGUCCUGCUCAGUCAUGAAGUGGUCCAAACCAGCUGAGGCUCUGCCAGAGUUAAAGGACUCCACAUUUCCAUCGUUCGGUCCCAGGAGCGGACUGUGUUGUCCAGCCCUCCAGUCCACAGUUUGGUCCCGUCGUGAGAGAUGUCGAUGCAGCUGGCACCGUCUGUGUGACCCUGGAACUGCCUGCAGCACCCCAAGAGACAAAAAAAAUCAAGUCAGAGGAUUAACAGCUCUGAAACUUUAGGUUGUACAGACGUAAAUGAAGAAGAUGAAGUCUUUAAAUGUGCUUAUGUUGAAAAAUCUGAUCCUCUGAGUCACGGCACUGACCUGACGAGGGUCUGGUUAUGGAGGUCCCACACAGCGAUGUUUCCGUCCGAGCAGCAGGAGAAGCAGACCUUGGCAUCUGGACUGAUGGCCAGUGCAUAGCAGGCUGGAGCAGAAGAAGUGAGCUCCGCCUUAAUGCGGGGCGUCUGUGAGGCUAGGUCCCAGAUGGUCAGCGUGCUGGCCUCGCCACCCACUAUGAGGGUUCGGCCAUCAGGCAACAGUUUGCAGGAGCGGAUGUAAUUGUCUCUGUUCUGUAACAGAAACAAGCAUCGUCAAGGUCUGUGUUAAUGGGCGUCAACUAUCUGUGAACUCUUCAAAUAUCUGUGGAGGUCAGUCAGGACUAACUCAGUUAUGAUUCUGUUGAGAACAUCGAGACCAUCUCUGCUAAACUCAAGCAGAGUUCUCUUUGACAAGUGAAGUUUUAAGACUGCUGCUGACUCCUCUGUGUUUUAGUGAAGAUGUGGGUGUCAGCUAUAACAAGCGAUUCAGAGCGUGUGUGGGACUGCAGCUGUUGGCCGAGCUCCAGGAGAGCAGAAAGAAAAAGAUCAAUAGGACUGCUGAAGCUCUCGGUCAAAUUAAAACAGCACCCUGAUGGCUUUAUAAGACCCAACUGCACUCUGGACGCACCUUAAGGGUGCUGAAGGCUUUAUGAGUUGAACGGCAUGGAGCCGCAGUAUCAAAAUGAGAAAUGGGAGGCAGUUGGGAGGAAGUAAUGAGCUGGGUAAUGGCAGACAGGGUCGGCCAAUCAGAACAUCAUUACUCAGCAGGCUUUUUUUUCUCACCAAGGAUUAUUUCAGCACAGCAGAGACACUUUGCUGAAUUAUUCACAUCCCUGUCAGAUGGGAUCUGGGGAAAAGCCACGAUGGGAUGUGGAUUCAGGCUACAUUUGAUGCUCAAGAUAAUCUUAAUGAAGGAGGAAGUUUGCACAGACCUCAUGAAAUAAGAACAUUAUGCUUCUGCUCUGGUUAGACUGCUUGUUACCACUUUGAAACAUCCACUAACACAAAACUCUUGUACAAACAUUUCACAAUUCUCCUCUAAGCCGUGACUGCUCUAAAAACAAGACAGCGAUUAGUUACCAAGCAGUCGAGUUGGGACACAGGACUCUUGCUGCCUGGCUGGCUGAUGUCCCAAAUCUUGACGCAGCCCUUGCCGCCGGUGUAGACAUGGCGUGUGGGGUUGCUGAUGGUGACAGCGCACACCACUUCCCCGUGGCUCAGUGUGUUGAUCUGGCGAGCGUGGCGCGGGAUGCCCGGACCGAUCAGUGCAUCUGGAGGGAAGGGCACAGGCUGCAUCUGACCAUCCGCACUCACGUGAAAAGAAUACGCUCUACAGGGGAUAGAGGAAGAGAAGAGGUGGUCAGUCUGAGUCAGGUAAAGGCCACCUGGUCACAAGAACAGCAGAUACUAAAGAUACUCACGGUUUCCCUCCAGAAAUAGACGUGAGGCUGGCUGGCAGGCCUGGAGCUCUCAUGUGGGGAUGAGGGUCGAAUCCCGCCUGCAGAAGCGAGAGGAGCAAAGAGUUAAAAACAACAACUCAUAAUCUUCAAAGAUACAUUAGACUAAGCUAAUAUUCAAAUUGAAAACUAUGCUUUGCUUUUUCUGCUAACGCCCUGAGGAACUAGAAUCAUUUGCAGGCAAAUCCCAUGAAAGACAUAGAUUCAGCUUCACUGCAUACAGAGAAGCUACAACAUCCUGUCAGCUAAUGCUAAUGAAAGCCUGGGAGACUUUCAAACAUGGAGCUGCAUUUUGGGGGGGAGCCUUUUUUAAAGCCUUUAGAAUGCUAACUAACUAACAUCAAAGUAAAGGAGCACUGCUGUCUUUGUACUCUCUCAUUAUGUACACACAACAAGCAGCAGCCAGCUGAGCAGAAAUAUUCACAAUGAGGUAUGGAAAUACACCAUGAAUGCUCAAGUUUCUCAAAGUCAUUUUGCAGACAAGACUCUACAACAGCACAGUGAGGAAUUCACACUGCUGGUGGUGAGGGCUCCUCAUGUCAGACUAACAGAGGUGGAAUAUAUGAAUACAUAUUUAAAGCUGCAGCUACAUCUACUCAGUCAUGAGCAAUAAGGUCAUAUCUGAUUUGUAAUGAUAAAAAGAGACUGGACUGCUUACGAUGGGAGAGCGUCCAUAAGCGGCAGCCGCUGCAGCACUCAUCUGAGGUGAAAUGAGACCUGGAUAGACGCCGGGGCUGGUCAGGGAUCCAUUCAUGUCAUGAUGACCCAUCAUAGCAAACGGGGUGGCGUAGGAACCCGCAAUGGACAGAGGUGUACGCAGGGCAGGAGCGGCUAGAGAGGAGAAGAAACAUUUUAAUAAUCUAGAAAAAAACAUUGCAAAGAGAGAUACACUCAGACAUUUAGAAACACGAAACCAUGAUUCAUAUUUCUGUUGACUGGGUGACUUUCUGCAGAGGAAGACCAUGUGACGAGAUUGAAAACUCAAAGCCAGCGACCUCUCGACCUUAUGGGGAUUCUUUUCUCAAGAAUUAACUUGUUAUCAGGAGAUUCAUAUAUCUCCAUAUCUCAAAAAAUGCUGCUCAAAAUUCACUUAACUCAACUGUAAUGUCUUUAAGAAGCUCAUUUAGUCCUCACAGCACUCUAAAACCAGUUAGAGGUGGGCUCAUUGGAUUCUUGGUAAUCUAUCCAUUAAACCUGUUCCUGUUUGUUCAGACAUUUACUUCCUAGAUCUUAUUUCAGCUUCAGUAAAAUUCAUCAGAUUCUCAAAACAGCAACAUAGUAUGUAUAUUGCCAAUCAGUGAAUUACUACAGUUGUUAAAAAGUAUGACAGUAAGGGUGUUUAGGUACCUAACGCCUCCAUGCCUGGUGGUUUGCCCAUGGUGAGAGGCCUCAGUCCUGGCGUGCUGCUGGUUCCUGGUGUCGGGGCCUCAUUUCUUGGUGUUGGCGUGUUGGACUUCAGGCUUGGUGUGGACGACUUGUCGUUCUAAAAACAGAUACACCCUUUAAUCUCUGGGUGUGACCUUGUUCUAUGACCUCUAACUCAAAGUGUAAGCUCACUCUCACUUUCAACCACACUCUAAAAUGAAACAUCACCCACAGUGAAGAAAAAUAACCCAGUGAGUCAAAAAAUACCCCCACUGCCAGGGAAAUCCAGAGUGACAAUCUGAGUGGACGGCUCAAGGUAAUCCAAUCUAACACUGACACUUCAUUACAGCCCUGGUGUGAGUGAGUGUGUUUGAGUGUGAGUGUGAGUGUGAGUGUGAGUGUGUGUGUGUGUGUGUGUGUGUGUGUGUGUGUGUGUGUGUGUGUGUGUGUGUGUGUAUGUGUAUGUGUAUGUGUGUGUGUGUGUGUUGGGGGUUGGGACAUAAACCUUAGCUUAGAAGUCAAGCUUGUUAAGAGUGGCUAGACAAGCAAGAUGGCGGACCAAACACUUCUCUCAUAAUUAAUCCAUCUU